UAUUGCUUCUGAUGAUCUCGAAUUUGUAGAAGAUUGAGCCACACACGUAUCCGACCUCUACGAAUAUCAAUCGAAAUCUAUCUCGAAUCUCUUUCUUCUCGUAGAAGAUUUUUCUUCUCAAGAAGAACCUUGACCUUAAAGACUUGGAUCAACUCCUUUGAUCUUAACUGCGAGAUCAACUCCUUGAUCUGCAGUCUUCUUCUUCUUCUUCUUGAUCUACGAUCUCUAAGUCACCAAGAUAACUUUUGGGCAUGUGGAAGAGAAGUACCCAACCUUUGGGCAUGGACAAGAAGAGAGGGAG
Molecule: long non-coding RNA, 301 nt
Filed under: Elaeis guineensis (African oil palm)
Lineage: Eukaryota; Viridiplantae; Streptophyta; Magnoliopsida; Arecales; Arecaceae
Description: long non-coding RNA (EGUI_LNC013919)
Source: RNAcentral